This 383-nucleotide ribosomal RNA is filed under the name Diptera environmental sample. Its description in RNAcentral is "eukaryotic LSU rRNA". The stretch from base 328 to 383 matches the Rfam family "Eukaryotic large subunit ribosomal RNA", at positions 1 to 56 of the family's 3401-position model. Lineage: Eukaryota; Metazoa; Arthropoda; Insecta; Diptera. The record is from RNAcentral.
UGUACUACUCGUGAAUCAUCGAAUCUUUGAACGCAUCUUGCUACUUUUAGGUCUCCUAGAAAGUAUACUUGUUUGAGUAUCAUUAACACAUCCUCCAGGCUUCGCGCCCGGGAAUUGCGACGUUAAGCUGCGCAAGCGGCCUAUGUCGCCAAAGUGAUGAGCAGAGUGUUGUGGCACCUCGUGUGUCGCAGGCCUCCUCGCCGCACCAAAUGUGAGAUAAACAUCGCACAGAGUAGUGUACGGAGAAGGUUGAGCUAGGCUACGCCCAGAGGCGCGCCCGCCAUGCUUGCAUGUGCAGUGUCGCGCUUCACCCCAUUAAUGACGCAGUGAUCUCAAAUCAAGUAAGACUACCCGCUGAACUUAAGCAUAUCAAUAAGCGGAGG